Molecule: non-coding RNA, 1274 nt
Organism: Arachis ipaensis
Lineage: Eukaryota; Viridiplantae; Streptophyta; Magnoliopsida; Fabales; Fabaceae
Source: RefSeq, a predicted model, not a curated record
GCUUCAUUUUCUUUUUUAUUUUUUGAUAUGUUUUUAUUAUCUUUGCUCAGAACAUUGAUUCAAUGAUUUUUUGUGAUUCUGCUAGAACAUUGAUUUUUUUUGGAUUCUGUUAGUGCUACUCAAAAUGAAAUUUAAAUCAUCGAUUAGCUCUGCUCCUGCACUGUAUUAUACUAUUUUCUUGUUUGGAAUUGAAUCAUUGAAUAUUUAGUUAAAUUAGCUCUGUUAAUCUUUGUUAAAUUUAGACUAAUUUAGUUGUUAACCUUGCUUUAGUUCUCAAGUUGCUUGCUGCUUCAAUUUAAAGGGAUUGUGAAUUUUGGUUUAAGCUAUGAUUGAAGUUUCCUUCGUUUGGGUGUUCUUAUAUAUUUCUUUCUUUGUUGCUUUGUUUUAAAUGUUCCUAUAGGUGUUGUGUUGUUGCUGUGUUUUAAAUGUUCCUUUGACUCUUUGUUGUGUUGUUGCUGUGUUAUAUUUCUUUUUUUUGAAUAUUUGUAUUGAUUUGCUGUCCGAGGACCUGCACACCAACUUGUAUUCUUGCAAUGAAGCUUUCCAUGUUAAAACUUUUUUGCAUACAAAAUGAAUGUGGUUUGAUAAUUUCUAAUUGAUAUAACUUAUUGUGGGAUGAGCUAGAGAUUACUUUGAAGGUGUUGGGAAGGAAAUGAGGUUAUUGAGCAAUUGGAGAGUUGAUAGUGCUAGCCUUUUUUUUUUGCUAUUAAUCAUUGUGCUGAACUUGUUAAAAUUAUUUCAAUAAAAUUUAGCAUUGAUUGAUCCUGGUUUAACUGUCUAAUUUUGAGAAUUUGUUGCAUAGCGUAUAGCUUCACUAUUUUCUUUCUAACUUCGAUGAUUAGUUUGCUUUCGAUUCUUUUCUUGUUGCUGUUUGCAUAUGAUUUCUUAUAACUGUAAGAUAAUUUUGGGUACUUUAAGUUAACAUCUAUUUAUUUGUUUUAGAGUUGGUCCAAUGGAGGAUAGCCAGGAAAUUGAGGAGCAUGUGCAGGAAGAAGUGAUUUCAGAUAAUGGAACUGAAAAGAAGCAUGAAACUCGUGAUGAGAUGCUCUCGCAGUACAGUUUGAUCAUAGUAUGAGGGAUAAGAUUAGUGAAACUGAAGGUGGAAUUGAAAUGUUAUGUAAUAUUGUAAUCAUAAUUUGAUUAAUCUAGCUUUUUAAUUACAAAUAAUAUUUGUUAUGAUUGUUUCUUGUUUUAUAGAAGUUGCAUCUACUAUGUGAUCAACUAUUGUAAUCAUUUUUUGAUUAAUCUAGCUUUUUAAUUAUAAUUUUGUAUCA